UCUACGGGAGGCAGCAGUAGGGAAUAUUGCUCAAUGGGGGAAACCCUGAAGCAGCAACGCCGCGUGGAGGAUGAAGGCUUUCGGAUUGUAAAGUCCUUUUGUUGGAGAAGAUAAUGACGGUAUCUAAAGAAUAAGCACCGGCUAACUCCGUGACAGCAGCCGCGGUAAUACGGAGGGUGCAAGCGGUAGUCGGAAUCACUGGGCGGAAAGAGCGCGUAGGCGGGAUAGCAAGUCAGAUGUGAAAUCCUAUGGCUUAACCAUAGAACUGCAUUUGAAACUGUUAUUCUAGAGUAUGGGAGAGGUAGGUGGAAUUCUUGGUGUAGGGGUGAAAUCCGUAGAGAUCAAGAGGAAUACUCAUUGCGAAGGCGACCUGCUAGAACAUGACUGACGCUGAUGCGCGAAAGCGUGGGGAGCAAACAGGAUUAGAUACCCUAGUAGUC
This 440-nucleotide ribosomal RNA is filed under the name uncultured bacterium. Its description in RNAcentral is "partial 16S ribosomal RNA". It matches the Rfam family "Bacterial small subunit ribosomal RNA", at positions 338 to 795 of the family's 1533-position model. The record is from RNAcentral.